GUUGACCUCGGAUCAGGUAGGAAUACCCGCUGAACUUAAGCAUAUCAAUAG
This 51-nucleotide ribosomal RNA is filed under the name Colletotrichum lindemuthianum. RNAcentral describes it as "partial 28S ribosomal RNA". Lineage: Eukaryota; Fungi; Ascomycota; Sordariomycetes; Glomerellales; Glomerellaceae. The record is from RNAcentral.